This 263-nucleotide long non-coding RNA is filed under the name Capsicum annuum. Its description in RNAcentral is "long non-coding RNA (CANN_LNC018938)". Lineage: Eukaryota; Viridiplantae; Streptophyta; Magnoliopsida; Solanales; Solanaceae. The record is from RNAcentral.
CACUGCAUCUAACAAGAAUGGAAAACCAAUAGAAAUUCCCCUAGCCUAAAUUUAUAUGGUUGGGUUGCUCGCUCGGGGUGAUGAUUAUAUUCCAGAAGGUGCAGUAGGAGAAUGCCUUCGAGGGAAAAUGGGUGGUUGAUAGAAGACUGUAUCAUCUGAGAGCUAAUUGAAGAAGAUAUAUAGGGUAGAAAGUAACUUCUAGCGAAUCUGGCUGAUGGAAUUAUCUUAAAAGAUACGAAAUCUGAAUCAAGUGCAAAUAUGAA